Molecule: ribosomal RNA, 225 nt
Filed under: uncultured Glomeromycotina
Lineage: Eukaryota; Fungi; Glomeromycota
Description: partial small subunit ribosomal RNA
Rfam family: Eukaryotic small subunit ribosomal RNA (bases 50-225)
Source: RNAcentral
GGGUCUACCCAUUGGUCAGGCUUAAUUGUCUGCACUGGUGGGAUGGACCUCUACCUUCUGAGGAACUUUCAUGCCAUUUAUUUGGUGUGAUGGGAAAUCAGGACUGUUACUUUGAAAAAUUAGAGUGUUUAAAGCAGACUAUCGUCUGAAUACAUUAGCAUGGAAUAAUGAAAUAGGACGGACUGAUUCUAUUUCGUUGGUUUCUAGGAUCACCGUAAUGAUUAA